This 68-nucleotide transfer RNA is filed under the name Marmota monax (woodchuck). Its description in RNAcentral is "tRNA.Ala". The record is from RNAcentral. Lineage: Eukaryota; Metazoa; Chordata; Mammalia; Rodentia; Sciuridae.
GGAUUAUAGCUCAGUGGUAGAGUGCUCACCUAGCAUGUGUGAGGUACUGGGUUCGAUCCUUAGCACCA